This is a long non-coding RNA of Pistacia vera, 1366 nucleotides long. RefSeq lists it as uncharacterized. The transcript is spliced from 7 exons. Lineage: Eukaryota; Viridiplantae; Streptophyta; Magnoliopsida; Sapindales; Anacardiaceae. The record is from RefSeq and is a predicted model, not a curated record.
AAGAAUCCGGUUUAUUGCAUUCGACAUGCCUGCAUCGAGCCCUCGUGUAUCAAACCAUUGUGUCUUCCCACUACAACUUGUUUUUCUCCUCGAUCCUUUUGAAAAUCCAAGAAAGUUCAGAAACCAAAGAAUGAAACGGGGAACAGUUACCCCACUGCCAGAACUGAUUGCUGAGCCAACCAACAAUCACUCCAUGUCGCUUUUGGGAACUCACGAGGACCUGGCUGAAACCAUCAAAGGUGAAGGCAAUGCGGUGCUGUUGAUUGGUGGAAUUUUGGGAUCUUUCUGUAUGAGCUAUUAUUUUGUGGCUUUUCUUCUAAUAAAUCAUAGAACUGAAUUCGGAUGUGGAAGGCAAUGAUGCACUAUGGUUUGCUUAAUAAAAUCUCUGCUUGAAGAAUGAAUUUUUGGUGUAAUAUACAGAGUUCUUAGUUUCUGCUAUUCCUUUGUUAAUUUUCCAAGAGGUGCUGCUGUUCAAAUGUUGCAAUUUUGGAGAGUUAUGAGAAUGUUGGUGAAGAAUCUAUUGAAGCCUUCAAAAGUUUAAUAUGAAUGAUUGUCCUUUGCAGAAAACGCAAGGUGAAGGGAACGAAAGACGAGAGUUGUCAAAGAUAUAUAGCCACAAUAUUCCUUGGAUUAACAUUGAUCACAAGUUCGUCUACCAUCCCUACGAUGAAGGACGAUCUUCGAUUAGAUUCAAUCCUUUAUUUACAACAUUCCAUCCUUAUGCUCUUUUUAGGAUCCAACUCUCGGAUACAAUAUGUCAACAUUGCAAUGGCACUAUAAGCUCUUUUCAGAUGAUCAAUUCAUGUCACCGAUGAGUGGAGUGGAGAAUAAGGAAGCUGUGAUAGCCGAGCAUCAAUCGCAGUUGGUCUAAUGUCACUGAAGCUCCACCAAGAAAAGCGCUUCAUUGUCUUCCAUGAUGCGAAUCAGCCCCUUGUGUUUCAUUAGCGGCAUGGAGGAGAGGAAGAGGAGCAGCAGCAGAACUGUUUAGAGGAACUCAAAAUCCGCAAGUACUUUUUGUAAAAGCCUGCCCCACUGUCAAGAUAUUAUCCGUUUUGAAUACAACACGUUCUGAGAGCUUAGGAGCCUGUCCCAAGCGACGUGGGAUAUCACACUCUUCUUCUUGAUGCACAAUGAUACUACGAAGAAUAUGCUUCAAGGAUGAAUAUCUGGAGUUAUUCACAACUUCAAUUGUUGUUGAAAGUUUCUGCUACUAUCUCCACAAGCUUUUACUUUCUGCACUUCUUCCAGAGAUGUGAAUAGAGACGCAACAAAGAUUAUGCUUAGAAGUAGUUUCAGAAUCAGACUUGAGAACAUUUUGGUUGUACAAAUUAUAGAUUUACAUGAUUUUUGAUGUAUUUUACAUUUU